Molecule: long non-coding RNA, 688 nt
Organism: Xiphophorus hellerii (green swordtail)
Lineage: Eukaryota; Metazoa; Chordata; Actinopteri; Cyprinodontiformes; Poeciliidae
Exons: 3
Source: RefSeq, a predicted model, not a curated record
CAGGAAAAGAAGAAAGAUGUGGAUUAGUUUUAGAGCAUUUUAAAAUGCUUUCAUAACAAGGAGACAGUUACAAAGGCUGAAAGGUAGAAAUGACCAAAGUUGCAGCAUUUAUUAUCCCUGAAAAAAAACAGAAGAGUUCUUCACAUGCUUCACGGUAGAAACAUUUGGCCCACAUUGCUCACCGUGAAACCAAAAAUCAAUACAGAUGUUGGUAAUCUUAUCUCUGGGAUGACAGAUGUGAAUCAAAAUGCGGCACGGUGACACAAAGUGGAACAUCGGGUCACCCAACCCAGGGCUGCAUUCUUUAUUAUAACAAAGUCGUUGUUUUCUGUAUGAAAAUAUACCAGCAACACGUCUGCAUUUUAUAUCUGGAAGUUCAAGACAAACUGGUUCUACAAAGUACAUUUUAUUCUUCUCUAUCAUACAUAGUGAAACAUAACUUAAACCCGAUAUGAUUGGCUGCUAUGCAAAACAGAGAAGGUAUAAAUAAGCAGGAAAAGCCUGAAAGAGACACCAACACUGUGGAGCUACCUCAAGCACUGGGAAACUACUGAUACAGCUAUUAGUCUGUUUUUCUUCACCACAAAUUACUUUGAAACAUAAACAGUAAAAGAUGGCCGAACAGAUGCCUAAAAGAUUCAAGGUUAUUGGAAAAUCACCACGGUCCGAAAAAAAGGAACGGAAAAAC